Paramormyrops kingsleyae is the source of this 912-nucleotide non-coding RNA. The record is from RefSeq and is a predicted model, not a curated record. Lineage: Eukaryota; Metazoa; Chordata; Actinopteri; Osteoglossiformes; Mormyridae.
UAAGGAGGUUUCAUUAAUGAAAGUGCCACCCCCGGCUUGCUGCUGUUUCUCCUGCUCACUUCACCUUUAAUGACACUGCGAAUCUGCCCCUGCUCUGCGACACUGACCUCUGACCUGGGGAGCUGAGGAGCAGAGAAUGACCUGCCAUGCUGGCCCCUCCCACACCCGUGUCCCAAAAUGCGUUUGUCUCACUGGGUACAAUGUCAAGCCCUGGUGAUAAUCUUGGCCGCGGAUCGCUGGCGCCUGCUUGUCACCCUCACCGGUCCUGAGUGUAUCGCUGACUCGCGAAGCCUGGAUGUGUCCAUCAGCACAGGAUGACACGUGUCAUAGACCAACUCCAAAUGGAGGUAUUGGACCUGAGCUAAAGGUCGCGUGGGGAGGAUGGACAACGUCAGCCACCUCUCAUCUCCUAAGACCAUGGAGCUGUCGGUGGAGACGGUCAUUGUGGGUGGAAAUGAUGGAGCCAAGCUUUUGGAUGAUGACAUGGGGAAGGGAGAUGAUGUGUGUGUAGGAGAUUGUCCUUCCCUCUAGGUGUUCCUCGGCCGACUUAUCUUGAAGGACCAGUGAUGUGGGCUGUGACCCAUCGCUGAGGCCCUCAGACGUUCCUGCAGAGGUUCAGUAAAUGUUCUUUUGUAAAAAUGUGAUCAGAGUAUGAUCUUCUUAGGGGGCGAGACGAGCCAGAAAAGGGACUGAGAAGCAUUUAGAAUUCUGAAGCGGGAGAAAUAGUGUUCAGUACUGAGAGAUACUGCUGGUUCCUGGGCAGCCUAACAGAAAGACUGACCUUCAGGGAGAAAGGACACGCACACAUGCUCACACACACACAUGCGCACACGCACACAGAUACAUUCUCUUGAUGCUGAAAGACAGAAACAUGUUGUCACUGCAUGCCAUGUGGAUAUUUUGCCAUUAGAG